CCAUCUAGACUAAACUAAAUCAUAUUAUGCCUAUAUAUACACGUCUAUUAUAUGCACGCGCACAUACAAUGAUGUCGGUAAUUCAAUUUUUAUACUUCUCUGUUCCCCGAUGAAUAUUCAUAUUUACUUUUUGAUUUGUUUCUCGAAUAAAUGCCUAUUAUUUCUUUUUUUUGAUAAGUGUACCUCACACAACUCAUUUACAACAAAAAUGAGAUAUUUAUUUCAUUCACACAAAGUCAAUCAAUUUUUUAAAACUCAUUUUAUUUUUAAAUGGGUAUUCAUUUGAAGGACGAAGAAAGUAAUACAUAG
This 309-nucleotide long non-coding RNA is filed under the name Salvia miltiorrhiza (redroot sage). RNAcentral describes it as "long non-coding RNA (SMIL_LNC002385)". Lineage: Eukaryota; Viridiplantae; Streptophyta; Magnoliopsida; Lamiales; Lamiaceae. The record is from RNAcentral.